UAGUGGCGCACGGGUGCGUAACACGUAUGCAACCUACCUUACAUUGGGGGAUAGCCUUUCGAAAGGGAGAUUAAUACCGCAUAAGACAGUAACUGGGCAUCCAGUAGCUGUUAAAGAUUUAUCGAUGUAAGAUGGGCAUGCGUCCAAUUAGUUAGUUGGCGAGGUAAUGGCUCACCAAGACUUUGAUUGGUAGGGGAACUGAGAGGUCAAUCCCCCACACUGGCACUGAGAUACGGGCCAGACUCCUACGGGAGGCAGCAGUAGGGAAUAUUGGGCAAUGGACGCAAGUCUGACCCAGCCAUGCCGCGUGCAGGACGAAGGCGUUAUGCGUUGUAAACUGCUUUUAUACAGGAAGAAACGACUCUUGCGAGAGGCAUUGACGGUACUGUAUGAAUAAGCACCGGCUAACUCCGUGCCAGCAGCCGCGGUAAUACGGAGGGUGCAAGCGUUGUCCGGAUUUAUUGGGUUUAAAGGGUGCGCAGGUGGUUUAUUAAGUCAGUGGUGAAAGACGGUCGCUCAACGAUUGCAGUGCCAUUGAAACUGGUAGACUUGAGUAAAGUAGAGGUGGGCGGAAUUGAUAGUGUAGCGGUGAAAUGCAUAGAUAUUAUCAAGAACUCCAAUUGCGAAGGCAGCUCACUUGGCUUUUACUGACACUCAUGCACGAAAGUGUGGGUAUCAAACAGGAUUAGAUACCCUGGUA
Molecule: ribosomal RNA, 700 nt
Filed under: uncultured Bacteroidota bacterium
Lineage: Bacteria; Pseudomonadati; Bacteroidota
Description: bacterial SSU rRNA
Rfam family: Bacterial small subunit ribosomal RNA
Source: RNAcentral